Molecule: ribosomal RNA, 253 nt
Filed under: uncultured bacterium
Lineage: Bacteria
Description: partial 16S ribosomal RNA
Rfam family: Bacterial small subunit ribosomal RNA
Source: RNAcentral
UACGUAGGGUGCGAGCGUUAAUCGGAAUUACUGGGCGUAAAGCGUGCGCAGGCGGUUCGCCAAGUCAGGUGUGAAAUCCCCGGGCUUAACCUGGGAAUUGCGCUUGAAACUAGCGGGCUUGAGUGUGGCAGAGGGGGGUGGAAUUCCACGUGUAGCAGUGAAAUGCGUAGAGAUGUGGAGGAACACCGAUGGCGAAGGCAGCCCCCUGGGUCAACACUGACGCUCAUGCACGAAAGCGUGGUGAGCAAACAGG